AAAAUCCGUCGGAAUAAUGCUGGGGUACGAUGCGGAGCGAAAUUAAGUAGCGAAGUAGCUGAUUUCACACUGUCGAGAAAAGUCUCUAUCGAGGUUAAAGGUGCCUGUACCGCAAACCGACAUAGGUGGGUGAGGAGAGUAUCCUAAGGCCAGCGAGAGAACUGUUGUUAAGGAACUCGGCAAAAUGACCCCGUAACUUAGGGAGAAGGGGUGCCUUCGAAAGAAGGCCGCAGAGAAUAGGCCCAAGCGACUGUUUACCAAAAACAUAGGUUUCUGCUAAGUCGCAAGACGAUGUAUAGGAGCUGACGCCUGCCCGGUGCUGGAAGGUUAAGGGGAUCUGUUAGAGCAAUCGAAGCAGUGAACUUAAGCCCCAGUAAACGGCGGCCGUAACAAUAACGGUCCUAAGGUAGCGAAAUUCCUUGUCGGGUAAGUUCCGACCCGCACGAAAGGCGUAACGAUUUGGGCACUGUCUCAACAACAGACUCGGUGAAAUUGUAAUACCGGUGAAGAUGCCGGUUACCUGCGACAGGACGGAAAGACCCCAUGGAGCUUUACUGUAGCUUGACAUUGAGUCUCGGUGCUACAUGUACAGGAUAGGUGGGAGACUAUGAAGCAUGGACGUCAGUCUGUGUGGAGUCAUCCUUGGGAUACCACCCUUGUAGUACUGGGAUUCUAACCAGAGGCCAUGAAUCUGGUCUUGGGACACUGUCAGGUGGACAGUUUGACUAGGGCGGUCGCCUCCCAAAAAGUAACGGAGGCGCUCAAAGGUUCUCUCAGUACGGUCGGAAAUCGUACGAAGAGUGUAAAGGCAAAAGAGAGCUUGAUUGCAAGACAUACAGGUCGAGCAAGGACGAAAGUCGGACUUAGUGAUCCGGUGGUUCCGCAUGGAAGGGCCAUCGCUCAACGGAUAAAAGCUACCCUGGGGAUAACAGGCUGAUCUCCCCCAAGAGUCCACAUCGACGGGGAGGUUUGGCACCUCGAUGUCGGCUCAUCACAUCCUGGGGCUGUAGUAGGUCCCAAGGGUUGGGCUGUUCGCCCAUUAAAGUGGUACGCGAGCUGGGUUCAGAACGUCGUGAGACAGUUCGGUCCCUAUCCGUCGCAGGCGUAGGAAAUUUGAGGAGACCUGUCCUUAGUACGAGAGGACCGGGAUGGACGUACCGCUGGUGUACCAGUUGUUCUGCCAAGGGCAUGGCUGGGUAGCUAAGUACGGAAAGGAUAAGCGCUGAAAGCAUCUAAGCGCGAAGCCCACUUCAAGAUAAGAUUUCCCACCGCAAGGUUAAGAUCCCAGGAAGACUACCUGGUUGAUAGGUCAGAGGUGUAAGUGUAGUAAUAUAUUUAGCUUACUGAUACUAAUAGAUCGAGGACUUGAUC
Molecule: ribosomal RNA, 1371 nt
Filed under: metagenome
Description: bacterial LSU rRNA
Rfam family: Bacterial large subunit ribosomal RNA
Source: RNAcentral